Molecule: ribosomal RNA, 1437 nt
Filed under: Candidatus Anadelfobacter veles
Lineage: Bacteria; Pseudomonadati; Pseudomonadota; Alphaproteobacteria; Rickettsiales; Candidatus Midichloriaceae
Description: 16S ribosomal RNA
Rfam family: Bacterial small subunit ribosomal RNA
Source: RNAcentral
CUGGCGGCGUGCUUAACACAUGCAAGUCGAACGCACGAGAUCGGUGCUUGCACUGAUCGAGUGAGUGGCAGACGGAUGAGUAAUACAUGGGAAUCUACCUUAUAGUACGGAACAACCAUUGGAAACGGUGGCUAAUGCCGUAUAUUGCCGAGAGGUGAAAGAUUUAUCGCUGUAAGAUGAGCCCAUGCGGGAUUAGCUAGUUGGUAAGGUAAUGGCUUACCAAGGCAAUGAUCUCUAGUUGGUCUGAGAGGAUGAUCAGCCAUACUGGAACUGAGACACGGUCCAGACUCCUACGGGAGGCAGCAGUGGGGAAUAUUGGACAAUAGGCGAAAGCCCGAUCCAGCAACGCCGCGUGAAUGGUAAGGCCUUAGGGUUGUAAAGUUCUUUUAGUGGGGAAAAUUAUGAUGGUACCCACAGAAAAAGCCCCGGCUAACUUCGUGCCAGCAGCCGCGGUAAUACGAAGGGGGCUAGCGUUACUCGGAAUUAUUGGGCGUAAAGCGUGCGUAGGUGGUGCUAUAAGUUAGGAGUGAAAGCCUCAGGCUCAACCUGAGAAAUGCUUUUAAUACUGUAGUGCUUGAGUUCUGAAGAGGAUAGUGGAAUUCCUAGUGUAGAGGUGACAUUCGUAGAUAUUAGGAGGAACACCGGUGGCGAAAGCGACUAUCUGGUCAGAUACUGACACUGUUGCACGAAAGCGUGGGGAGCAAACAGGAUUAGAUACCCUGGUAGUCCACGCAGUAAACUAUGAGUGCUAGGUAUUGGGACGUUUUGUUCUCAGUACCCCAGCUAACGCGUUAAGCACUCCGCCUGGGGAGUACGACCGCAAGGUUAAAACUCAAAGGAAUUGACGGGGACCCGCACAAGCGGUGGAACAUGUGGUUUAAUUCGAUGCUACGCGAAAAACCUUACCAGGUCUUGCAUAGUAGUCAUAUGGUCAUGAAAGUGAUCAGUCGGUUCGGCCGGACUAUUACAGGUGUUGCAUGGCUGUCGUCAGCUCGUGUCGUGAGAUGUUGGGUUAAGUCCCGCAACGAGCGCAACCCUUAUCCUUAGUUGCCAGCGAUUCGGUCGGGCACUUUAAGGAAACUGCCGGUGGUAAGCCGGAGGAAGGUGAGGAUGACGUCAAGUCAGCAUGGCCCUUACGACCUGGGCUACACACGUGUUACAAUGGUGGUGACAAUGAGCAGCAAAAGAGCGAUCUAGAGCUAAUCUUCAAAAGCCAUCUCAGUUCGGAUUGCACCCUGCAACUCGGGUGCAUGAAGUUGAAAUCGCUAGUAAUCGCAGAUCAGCAUGCUGCGGUGAAUACGUUCCCGGGUCUUGUACACACUGCCCGUCAAGCCAUGGGAGUUGGUUUUGCCUUAAGUAGGUGCGCUAACCGUAAGGAGGUAGCCUAUCACGGCAAGGUCGAUGACUGGGGUUAAGUCGUAACAAGGUAGCCGUAGG